Molecule: ribosomal RNA, 328 nt
Filed under: uncultured eukaryote
Lineage: Eukaryota
Description: partial 18S ribosomal RNA
Rfam family: Eukaryotic small subunit ribosomal RNA
Source: RNAcentral
CCCUUAGAUGUCCGGGGCUGCACGCGCGCUACACUGAAGGAAUCAGCGUGCUAAAACCAUUGUCGAAAGGCAUUGGUAAACCCAUUAAAAUCCUACGUGAUUGGGAUCGGGAAUUGCAAUUAUUUCCCUUGAACGAGGAAUUCCCAGUAAGUGUGGGUCAUAAGCUCGCGUUGAUUACGUCCCUGCCCUUUGUACACACCGCCCGUCGCUGCCCGGGACUGAGCCGUUUCGAGAAAAGCGGGGACUGCUGCUGUCGGGGCUUUCGGGCCUUGGCUUCGGUGGAAACCGCUUUAAUCGCAGUGGCUUGAACCGGGCAAAAGUCGCAACA